This 306-nucleotide unclassified non-coding RNA is filed under the name plant metagenome. RNAcentral describes it as "partial contains 5.8S ribosomal RNA, internal transcribed spacer 2, and large subunit ribosomal RNA". The stretch from base 1 to 105 matches the Rfam family "5.8S ribosomal RNA", at positions 50 to 154 of the family's 154-position model. The record is from RNAcentral.
GAAAUGCGAUAAGUAAUGUGAAUUGCAGAAUUCAGUGAAUCAUCGAAUCUUUGAACGCACAUUGCGCCCGCCAGUAUUCUGGCGGGCAUGCCUGUCCGAGCGUCAUUUCAACCAUCAAGCCCCCGGGCUUGUGUUGGGGACCUGCGGCUGCCCGCAGGCCCUGAAAACCAGUGGCGGGCUCGCUGGCACACCGAGCGUAGUAGCAAUCACCUCGCUCAGGGCGUGCUGCGGGUUCCGGCCGUUAAACAGCCUUACAAAACCCAAGGUUGACCUCGGAUCAGGUAGGAAGACCCGCUGAACUUAAGC